This 371-nucleotide ribosomal RNA is filed under the name uncultured bacterium. RNAcentral describes it as "bacterial SSU rRNA". It matches the Rfam family "Bacterial small subunit ribosomal RNA", at positions 28 to 404 of the family's 1533-position model. The record is from RNAcentral.
GACGAACGCUGGCGGCGUGCUUAACACAUGCAAGUCGAGCGGUAAGGCCCUUCGGGUACACGAGCGGCGAACGGGUGAGUAACACGUGGGUGACCUGCCUCUAGCUCUGGGAUAAGCCUGGGAAACUGGGUCUAAUACCGGAUAUGACUCCACGGCGCAUGUUGUGGGGUGGAAAGCCUUGUGUGGCUAGAGAUGGGCCCGCGGCCUAUCAGCUUGUUGGUGGGGGAUGGCCUACCAAGGCGACGACGGGUAGCCGGCCUGAGAGGGCGACCGGCCACACUGGGACUGAGACACGGCCCAGACUCCUACGGGAGGCAGCAGUGGGGAAUCUUGCGCAAUGGGCGAAAGCCUGACGCAGCGACGCCGCGUGA